GCCCUGGUUAUCCCAGAUUGCCGUCUACCAGUCAGGCAGCUUUCAUUCACUGCAUGUCAGAGAUGCACUCUGUGUGAUUAAAAUUCUGGCCCCCGCCAUCACAUCCGUCCAGCGUCCUGUGUUUGCAUGACUGUAUAUCAAACUGAAAAUGAUAGACCACUGUUUAGGCACUGGCAUCUGUCUUCUUCAGAGGAAACCCCCUCUUUUGGGUUGGGAGGGGUCACUGCCGAAGGGGUGCCGUGCCAUUUUCACCCUCUUCCUGAAUUUUUCAUCCAUCCACUCUUUAAUAUUCAUAAUUUCAUAAUUUAUGUUGAACGUAGGGAUUUAGGGUCAUAAAACUCAGAAAAAUGUUUGCUCAAUAAACCCUCUCUUUGCUGUGAGAAGAUGGCAUCCUUUUACAGCCCGUGUCUGUAGUACUCAUCUAACGGCCCGUGUUGCUUCCUUUCCGCAAGAUCCCACCAUUUCUGUGCUUUUGUGGGAUUAAAACAGGAGCAUUUGAUAAUAACAGAUGACACUGGGCAUGUCAAUUUAACAUAACUCAGCAUGAACUGAUUUAUUUAAAUCAGCCUUUGUUUGUGCAUACAAGCCUGUGCUCACCCAGCUGUGUCCCCAUAAAAACUCCCUAACUCAGGAAGGACCCUGCGCUGGACUCAGUAUGUCAGGAACGAGAUCAUCUGACAAGGGUCAGAGCAUUCUGAGGACUACAUAGGGCAAGGAAGAGCCCAUGCUGAACAAUUAUAUACUUUAAAAGCCAGUCUAGGCCUUUCAGCGUCUCCAGCAUUCUUGCAAAUGGUUACAGAACCACAGGUUCCAUCAAACACGGACUAGGUCCCAGUUAGGUCCUUUAGGUCAACCUCCGCUCUAUCAUCAGUGCCCCCGGGUGUGCCUGAUACUCUCUCAGUGACCUGAAAAUUGAUGGACCGAUGACCUGGCCCCCUUCUGUGGCCCCGCACUCAUCUGGGGACCAGACAGUUCCAGACGCAGUGUCCACUGGAAUUCAUCUUGGGCAGACUACAGUCUGGCUUCCAGUUGUCAAAAGGGAUCAGAUUAAGAGUCUGACAUCACUUCUGUCAGCGAACGUUGCAGUGCAGCUUCUCGAGUUCUGCAGCAGUCGUGCAAGCUGCACAAAAACAGACACCUUGUGUAAUGCGAUAUCAGAAAGAGCGAAGGCAGUGUGCUGUCUGGCAGCGAGGAAGUGGACAAGAUGAGGUUCACUGGGCUUAGACCUCCGACGCGUCCCCCCAGCCCCGGAUCCGCGGUGUCCGUGGGCUUCAUCCCGAACGGGCUGACGUCACGGGCGAUCGAACGCCGCUGGGAAGGAGGCGCCCCGGCUCGAGCCGAAGGGGUGACCAUGAACAUUCUUCAUUGCCUCCCACACCAUCUGUCCACUGCGCCACAUAACCACAACCACAGGUGGAGAGGAACCUCUGGCUUUAGCUGUCCCACGCCAACCCACCAUCACCACCCCCCAUGGUUGAAGUGCC
Long non-coding RNA from Paramormyrops kingsleyae, 1484 nucleotides. RefSeq lists it as uncharacterized. NCBI's taxonomy places the organism in Eukaryota, Metazoa, Chordata, Actinopteri, Osteoglossiformes, Mormyridae. The record is from RefSeq and is a predicted model, not a curated record.